CUAUAUCACUGGCUGUCCUUGAACUCACUAUGUAGGGCACGUUGACCUCAAAUGCACAAAGAGGUACCUGCCUCUGCCUCUCAAGUUCUAUGAUCAAAGGUGUGUGCCACUGUGUAGAGAAUUUUUUUUUUGAAGAAAAAAAAAUAGCAAGGAAAUCUGGUACUUUCUAUCUAAAUGGCUUCAAACAAAAGAAUGUUAGUAAGAAUAUUUUUAUGGAAUUAUUUAUUUAAUGUAUAUGUGUACACUGUAGCUGUCCUCAGACACACCAGAAAAGGGCAUCCAAUCCCAUUACAGAUGGUUGUGAGCCACCAUGUGGUUACUGGGAACUGAACUCAGGACCUCUGGAAGAGCUGUCAAUGCUCUUAACUGCUGAACCACCUCUCCAGCCCUCUUUAUCAAUUUCCAUUUUUCCAUACUUCCCUUUUUUUUCUUUUUCUGCAAAAAGCUAAUUUCAUUAUUAUUGCACUCCUAAAUUCCAAACUGUUGUUACAACUUUUUUCCUCUUAGACAUGAUAGAGGUAUCAUAUUUGCUACUGGUUUUACCUAGCUUCUAAGAUUUGUAUCUGUUAGUCUGCACAUGAACAUAGGAUGUGUCUGUAUGUGUCUCUGUGUGUCUGCGUGUAUCUGUGUGUGCAUGUAUGCUUUUAUGUGUAUAGUCUUUAUGUGUGUGCCUUUGUGUGUAUAUGUGCUGUGUGUGUUUGUGUGUGUACUCUUGUAUGUGUGCUCUUGUGUGUGCUGUGUGUGCUCUGGUGAGUGUGUGUCUGUGUCUGUGAGUGUGUGAGUGUGUGUGUGUGUGUGUGUGUGUGCGUGUAUCUUAGGGUUUACUGCUGUGAACAGACACCAUGAUCAAGGCAACCCUUAUAAGGCCAACAUUUAAUUGGGGCUGGCUUACAGGUUCAGAGGUUCAGUCCAUUAUCAAGGCAGGAACAUGGCAGCGUCCAGGCAGGCAUGGUACAGAAGGAGCUGAGAGUUCUACAUCUUCAUCUGAAGGCUGCUGGCAGAAUAACGACUUCCAGGCAGCUAGGAUGAGGGUCUUAAAGCCCAUACCCACAGUGACACACCUCCUCCAACAAGGCCACACCUCCUAAUAGUGCCACUCCCUGAGCCAAGCACAUCCAAACCAUCACAGUUUGUAUGGGAUAUGUAUGUGUACGCGGGCGUGCACAUGCGCACGCACAGGCCUAGAGUCUUCAGAUCCCCCUAGAGCUUGAAUUACAGGCUGUUGUGAGUCACCUGAUAUGGGCGCUAAGAACCAAACUAGGGUUCUUUACCAGAGCAACAGUUGUUCUUAACUUCUGAGCCAUUUCUCCAGCCCCACAAGUCUCCGUGUUGUUUGUUUGUUUGUUUGUUUGUUUGUUUGUUUGUUUGUUUGUUUUUGAGACAGGCCUCUCUGCCUACCCUGGUUGCCCUAGAGCUUGCCAUAUAGACUGGCUCCAAACUCCCAUAGAUCCACCUGCCUCUGCCUCCCGAGUGCUGGAAGGGUGCCCUCAUUAGCUUGUUUUUUAAUGGUCCCUACAAGAACAGACUUGUCAGACUGUAUCUUGGGGAGAGUACAUGGGAUAAAAGAGGGGAUUGUGUUAGGAAUCUGGAGUCCAAGCUGUCCUACUAUCUUGUAUAAAGUAUUGGAAUGAGUACUUUGUUUCCAGGGAGACUAUGCCUCAAGACUCAACCAGUGUUGCUUUUGGUGGCAAAAAGAGAUGUCCCCGGAGCUUCCCACACAAGGCCUUCACCCACACCUUCAGCCACAGCUCCCAGUCCUAUCAUCUUCGAAAUUAUAUCAGAGCACGUAUCAAAUAGACAUCAUCCUCUCCCAAGCACUGGGGAGAAAAAGAUUCUUCUUUCUGGAAAUGUCUGUAAAUUUCCUAAAGUAUCUAUUACACAGAUUGAAUUUAAUUAGGAUUUUUUUUCCUUCUUGUUUUGUGUGUGACCAAGGCUGUUCAUGUGUGAGGGGGUACAUCUGUACCCAGAAAUGCUGAGGAUGGAGGUCAGCUGCCAGUGCCACUGUUCAGGUGUCCUCUACCCUGUCUUAUUUUUUUUAAGAUUUAUUUAUUUAUUGUAUAUUAUAAGUACACCGUAGCUGUCUUCAGAUACACCAGAAGAGGGUAUCAGGUCCCAUUACAGAUGGCUGUGAGCCAUCAUGUGGUUGCUGGGAUUUGAACUCAGGACCUCUGGAAGAGCAUCAGUGCUCCCAAACACUGAGCCAUCUCUCUACCCUGUUUUAUGAGCCAAGAACCUAUCACUGGGCUGAGUCUUGAACAUUACUUUAUGCAAGCCGGCCUUCAUGCUCCAGUGAUCCAGGGCUUAGAUCGCAAGGGUGUUUGGGGCCCCUUAGGUCCUGGUAUGUCGGAACACAGUCCAAGAGUGUACUCUGGUGAGGAGAAGUCUAAGUACUCGUGGGGGGAAAAAAAAAAAAACACCAAGAAAACAAGAGCCCUGUGACCUAAUUUUCUUCAGAACACAGAACUGCUCUAAGCAUGUGUUUCCCGGCCCCUCCACGGUAUAGCACACCGGAGUCAGUUUACUUCCGGCUGCUGUUGUUUGUUUAUAAACCUCUCUGGAAAGACACGUUUUUGCCAUCUGCAGCUUGUCCUUGUGAGUGUGCACAUGUGACCCCUGUUUGAAUCACUCAUGUGACUCCUCUUACCCUCAGAGUACAAAUAAUCUGCAACUCUAAAUAAAGCUGGCUGUUCCUGAGAUGUUAAUCUGUCUCACUACUGGCCCCCAGGUCAAGUCCCAUGUUCUCUAGAGCAAUAAACACUGGCACUCACGCAGCAAGGCAGAUAUUAACAGACCUGCCUCCCCAGCCUAACUUCCAUGUCUUUGAAGACAGAGGGUUCAAGAUAAAGAAUUCAGUGGUUUGCUGUGCAUUUCCCUCGUUGUUGAGUUUGUCUCUGCAGUCAAAGUACCUAAACCAUUAGCAGAGCGGGACUUGGGCCCAUGCUUUAUGACGUUCCAGUGCAUUGUGGCGUGCAGGGCAGAAUGGAACACAGCCUUUGCUUUUGCUGGGUGAGAGAUAGCAGUGGUGGGGGUGCUCACUCUCUGUUCUUGCAGAGAACAGGGGUUUGAUUCCCAACGCCCAAGAGGAGGCUCACAGGCGCAGUUGCAGAGGACCCCAUGCCUCUCCUGCCUGGCUUCCUCCUUGCUCUCUUGUUUUAUCAAUAACUAAAAGGAUUCCUUUAUUCUGCUCUUUAAAACCCUAGAAGCCAAGAACCGAACCACAUUGCCUUCUUAUUCUUCCACACUUGUGAACCUCUCCACAGAUGCCAUCCUCUUGGGUGGCUUUAUUCUGAGGGAAUCUGACAGUGGUACCCACGAUGGUGCAUUUUCCUAAACACCUGGUGCGUGUGCCCCUGCUCAGCCACACCCUGGUACUGAGGUUUCCCAUUCCUUCAGCAGCAUGUAUUCACCGACAUGGAGAUAAAACUUAGUAGCAACAUCUUCAAAUGCUAUGCUCCCUGUGUGCAGGGUGAUUCCUGGACCAUCCUACUUCCCCAGCCCUGCAUCCCUGCCCUGUGUGGCUACACAGGUCUUCCUAUGGAAACAUGGAGUUAAUCCCCCUACACACACCUCUUACACCUCAGCUGGCCACAUGGCUUGCCUUAUGAAUAGCAUGGAGCAAAGACCAGAGCCAGCAACUCCUAAAUAUCACACUUCUUACUCCACUGGGCUAUGUAACCAUAGAUAAGUUACUUAACUGUGCCUCUGUCUUUCCACCUGUAAAAUGGGCAAGUAACGGCAGCACCAUCAUGAUGUUUCAGUGCUUAGAGCUGUCAUUGACACAAAGUAAAUGCUAAGUGUUUAUUAAAUAUACAAAAGGCAGGUCCUGGUGCCUCUUCACAGCAAAGAACCCAAGACUGUGCCGGUGAAUGUCCUUUGUAAAGGAAUUUGAAAAGCCGAAAAAAUUUGAAUAUUAACUUCUCAAUGGUGUUUACCAAAAAGAGGAAAUUUAAAUCUGCAAUGUAUUGACAUUUCAAAUUUUGAAAAUUUGAACGUUCAGUGAAGAAAGAGGAUUUCCAGGAAUUACUUCCUGUUGUGUGACAGGCUUUGCCUGGGGAGACAAAACCCGUAUGUGUCUACUCACCCCAGCAAGGGAAUCCAUCACAGACCAAAGUGCACGCAGCACCAAAGUCCAACUUGAACCAAUGAGUAUUUUACUGGGGGCUGGGGGUCACUUACAGGAGUAGAAACAACUCAAAGUCGGCUGCAUCACCAAAGCCCACCGAGCAGAGUCAAGCUCACAAGCUGGGAACACACCGCACAGCCUGCGGGCAGCUCAGCGGGUCAGAACGUGGUCUUUCCAGUGGUUCAAUGGGUCUGAGCCUCUUCCAGGCAGCUGGGCUUACCUCAACCUUCUUUGCAGCUUGACUGGUCUGGCAGUGAUUGGCAGCAGCCUUCACCACUUACAUUCUUCGGGGAGGGAGGGACUUGGUGAACCUGGUGCGUUUCAGGGACUUGCUGAAGCUAGUUUGUAUUGUCUGCUUCCUGUGUUCGUGGAACUUUCCUUCAAGGUGGAGUGUUUUAUCCCGUUUGAUUUCCUAGCAGAAUACCCCCAUGUUUUCACUUCCCUUUACAUCCUACGUCUUAAGAAGUUUCCUUCCAAGAUGGAAGGUUUUAACCUCGAAAGAAACAGGUACACCCUCCCUUUCUGGCUCUGAAGAGCCCCAACUCCAUCUUGUUUGUGCGCACCUGCUCGACCAGAGCUACUCCCUGACGAGGUUGCUCACCCAGCCACCUAAGAGAGGAGAGAGAGAGACCAACAGCUCCUCUCUUUACCAGAGCUAAGUCCCCAGUCCACAAACAUCAGUAAUUUCAGGAUCCAAAAUAAACUCAAAACUCUGGGUCUCCUAGACUAGUGCGUGCUCAAGAUGGUGACGGAGCUGCAGACAAUUAUCUGAAACUUGAGGAGUGCAGUCCCUGGAGCGUCCCCUAUGGUGUAAUGAUAGUGAGAGCAGACAGUUUCACUCAUUCCUGUUCUUAGUUCAAAUGCCUUUCGGGUUUCGUUAUUUAGAAUAUUCGUAAGAAAGUCUGAAGGAGCAAAGUAUUAGUCGAGAUCAAAGAUCAGCCAACUACAGCAUAAGCCACACCUGCCCCCGAUUUUUGUUGACAAGGUUUAUUGGAGCACAGGUGUAUCUGUGUACAUAUUACUCUUGGCUGCUUCAGUGGAACCAUGACAGAAAAGAGAGCUACUGGGUAUUCAUGCCCUUGCUCAGUAUCUCCCAGCAAUCCCCAGUCACAGAAGACCACACUGUGGUAUAAGACCAUCCCCAAAGCUCAGAGGUUUAACAUGUUUCUCACUCCCACAAAGCCAGCUGUCCUUCUGGACAAACCUCCAAGUUUGCAGUGCAUCCUGAAAUGGUGCACAGAGCAUCUGCAGGGCUGAGGGAAAGAACAGGAGAAGUUCUCACACCCAGUCUUCCACACCACGGACCAGGGCACCUACUCCAGGCCCAAUAACAAUCCAAACAACUCCACCUCCAGAAACACAAGAGAUGAGAAAUGACACACAGCCCCAGGCCUGGGAGCAAAGAAAACGAAUGCGGAUGUUCAAAAUGUAGCAAAGCAAAUAACGUUGGUUGUCAACUUGAUCGGACCUAGAAUCAGAAAGGGUUGUGGGCACCCUACUGGGAUUAGCCAUUGUAAGUUAACCAGGGUAGGGAAGCCUGGUCUAAUUGGGAGAUAGCGCUCCCAUGGCUGAGUUUUGGGAUGAAGGAAAAGAAAUCAAAUAGAGUAGCAACGUUCCUGUUCCCUGACUGUAGAUGAAUUCAGCACGAGCCCACAAGUUCCCGCCCCUAGGACUCCCACACACACAUGCAAAGUUCCCGCCCUCCUCCUCCUCCGCAAGGAGUGAGACUCUAGUACUUUGAGCCAAAAUAAACCCUCCUUUCCUUGAGUUGCUUUUGUCAAAGUAUUUUAUCACCGUGAUAGGAACUGUAACUAAGACAGAUGGUGUCAUCGUUGCAGAAUUUCUAGGAAACUGAGUCACUGAGCCGAAGCCGUGUUCCACCCGGGAAAGAAAGGUUUAAUUCGCUGGCUCCGAAACCGCACUGUAGUGGUGGCAGUCCUAAGCCUCGGUCCAGUAUUUUUAUUAGGUGGGAGUAUGGAAGCAACCCAACAUGGGGGUGGCUAGGCAGUGUUAAAAGUCAAUUACCACACCUCCUUGGUACCUUAAGUGGAGAUGCCACAAGUGGGAGGGGACAGCUCGAUGGAACUCGAGCCCUGGGGAAUUUCCGUUGUUUUAACACGUGGCAGGCAGUUUGAGAUUCUGCACCCCAUUCUCUCCUCUUCUUUGUCAGAAUCCGUUAUGACCCCUCUCAAGGAACCUCUGGUGCUGGUGGAGGCCAUGGAGUCCACCUGCUACUCUCCUGUAUCUAGUGACAAAACUUAGGUAUGGACUCAACAAUACAUAUCAGGAGAAUCAUGCCCAAAGGCCCCUAUUAGGGGCGGGAGUGGAAGCCGACUUGGGUAUCACCCCAGGAAGAUCCUUUUGUCUUGCCUCGGACCUUGACGUUUUCCACCAGCUGCCUGGCAUUUUCUUUACGAUCCCUGAGUGGUUUGUGCAGAAACAACCAUCUUUUUUCCUCUAAAGACACACAUCACCUUUUCAGCUACUAUUUUUGUAGGGUUGCUGGGGGAUGGCGUCUUUCUGGUUCUGCAGGGUGACUAUACUCUGCUGGGCUAGCCUGAGGCCCUCCUCCAUUUGAUUGGACAGCUGGCUAUGCCGGACCUGUUGGAUCCUGAGCUCAGUCGCUCCUGUGGCAGUAACGCCAUUGAGGGCCAUCUCCAAUAACACUGAGAGUAAGAUGGGAUUUCUCUCUUUCCUGUGGUGAGGGCCCUAGUAUUGUUCUACCCCUGGUACAAGGAGAAUAUCUCAAGCCCUGGGGAAUUUCCGUUGCUUUAACACGUGGCAGGCAGUUUGAGAUUCUGCACCCCAUUCUCUCCUCCUCUUUGUCAGAAUCCGUUAUGACCCCUCUCAAGGAACCUCUGGUGCUGGUGGAGGCUUGGUGUCAUCCUGCAAACCCACACUGGGUAACAGCCAGCAAUUACAGUCGACAACAGGUUGGCAGCACAAGCCAUGUACCCCGUAACAUGUCUGGAGGUGGCAGAUGGGACACGGAUGCCCCAUUCCAAGUGGCAGGAUGAAGUUUGGUGACGCUCAGAACUGUCAGAACACAGUCCCACAGUCUGAGAAUGGGGUCAUGGGAUGGGAACUCUGAGCGCUUGUGAGAAAACUCCAAGAAAACAAGACAAGGGCUUUGUGACCUGAGUUUCCUCGAAAGCAAGUACUAAUUCUUGGGUUGUGCUUUCGAUCCCCUCCCAGGUUUGCACUUGGGAAACAAAGUAAGCUUACUUUAUUCCUGACAACUGGCUACUGUUACCUGUUUAUGUGCCUCCUGGAAAAACAUGCUUUUGCCAUGUGUGACUUGUUGUGACUGUGCAGUUUAGUCAAAUGACUCUUCUUAACCCACGGAGUCUAAAUUGUCUGGUGCUCUGAAUAAAGCUGGCUGUUGCGUGAGACAUUA
Molecule: non-coding RNA, 7520 nt
Organism: Rattus norvegicus (Norway rat)
Lineage: Eukaryota; Metazoa; Chordata; Mammalia; Rodentia; Muridae
Source: RefSeq, a predicted model, not a curated record